RNAcentral lists this long non-coding RNA (408 nucleotides) under Brassica napus (rape). Its description in RNAcentral is "long non-coding RNA (BNAP_LNC010824)". The record is from RNAcentral. Lineage: Eukaryota; Viridiplantae; Streptophyta; Magnoliopsida; Brassicales; Brassicaceae.
GUAAAAUUAGGAAACUUAAAAAUUAAAAAUUUAGACGUGAUCGCUUCCUGACAAUUUAACAUUCUCAAACAAUAGUUCAAACAACAUUCUCAAACAUUCGCACUAACAUGAUCGAUUUCAAACAACAUUCUCAAACAACAGUUCAAACAAUAUUCUCAAACAUUCCCGAGUUCUAAGUCAGUUCAAACAACAUUCUAAAAAAACAGUUCAAACAACAGUUCAAACAACAUUCUCUACCUACACCGUGACUCCUAUCUAAACAAUGAGUUCCCCUAUCUAAACUGUGAUCCUAGCAAUGCUUACUACUUAUGCGUAAGAAGCACUAACCCGAGGUCCUUUGGCUGUUAUAUCGAGACAUCACUCCAUAUGCCAAGUAUGCGUCCACAAUAUCUUCAAAUGUACCCGCUU